Molecule: ribosomal RNA, 492 nt
Filed under: uncultured bacterium
Lineage: Bacteria
Description: partial 16S ribosomal RNA
Rfam family: Bacterial small subunit ribosomal RNA
Source: RNAcentral
AGUGAACGCUGGCGGUAGGCCUAACACAUGCAAGUCGAACGGCAGCACAGUAAGAGCUUGCUCUUACGGGUGGCGAGUGGCGGACGGGUGAGGAAUACAUCGGAAUCUACUUUUUCGGGGGGGAUAACGUAGGGAAACUUACGCUAAUACCGCAUACGACCUACGGGUGAAAGCAGGGGAUAUUCGGGCCUUGCGCGAUUGAAUGAGCCGAUGUCGGAUUAGCUAGUGGGCGGGGUAAAGGCCCACCAAGGCGACGAUCCGUAGCUGGUCUGAGAGGAUGAUCAGCCACACUGGAACUGAGACACGGUCCAGACUCCUACGGGAGGCAGCAGUGGGGAAUAUUCGACAAUGGGCGCAAGCCUGAUCCAGCCAUACCGCGUGGGUGAAGAAGGCCUUCGGGUUGUAAAGCCCUUUUGUUGGGAAAGAAAAGCAGCAGGUUAAUACCCCGCUGUUCUGACGGUACCCAAAGAAUAAGCACCGGCUAACUUCGUG